GAUGAACGCUGGCGGCGUGCCUAAUACAUGCAAGUCGAGCGAACAGACGAGGAGCUUGCUCCUCUGACGUUAGCGGCGGACGGGUGAGUAACACGUGGAUAACCUACCUAUAAGACUGGGAUAACUUCGGGAAACCGGAGCUAAUACCGGAUAAUAUAUUGAACCGCAUGGUUCAAUAGUGAAAGACGGUUUUGCUGUCACUUAUAGAUGGAUCCGCGCCGCAUUAGCUAGUUGGUAAGGUCACGGCUUACCAAGGCAACGCUGCGUAGCCGACCUGAGAGGGGGAUCGGCCAACGUGGAACGGAGACAGGGUCCAGAAUCCUACGGGAGGCAGCAGUAGGGAAUCUGCCGCAAUGGGCGAAAGCCUGACGGAGCAACGGCGCGUGAGUGAUGAAGGUCUUCGGAUCGUAAAACUCUGUUAUUAGGGAAGAACAAAUGUGUAAGUAACUAUGCACGUAUUGACGGUACCUAAUCAGAAAGCCACGGCUAACUACGUG
RNAcentral lists this ribosomal RNA (497 nucleotides) under uncultured bacterium. Its description in RNAcentral is "partial 16S ribosomal RNA". It matches the Rfam family "Bacterial small subunit ribosomal RNA", at positions 28 to 507 of the family's 1533-position model. The record is from RNAcentral.